Molecule: long non-coding RNA, 688 nt
Filed under: Heterocephalus glaber (naked mole-rat)
Lineage: Eukaryota; Metazoa; Chordata; Mammalia; Rodentia; Bathyergidae
Description: lncRNA (ENSHGLG00000047102.1)
Source: RNAcentral
GCCGGGGGCCGCCCGCGGGCCCGCCCGACCCCGAUGAGCCGGAGGCGCCGGCAGGCGCAGGAAGCACUGAGCUAAAUCUCCGGCCCAGUUGACAGAUUUUUUUUUUUUUUGGUACCGCGGAUUGAACUUGGGACCUUGCGCUUGCAAGGCAGCCGCCAGAACCACUGAGCUAAAUCCCCGGCCCUCCAGUUGACUGAUUUUCAAACAUGUUGCCUUGAAAUGCCCAGCCUGCUGGCCACAGCCACUCCUCCUGUGCCCUCAGGGCCCCCUUGCCUCUUGCAGUUUGGCCCAUGAAAGUAGGAGGAAGAUGUGCUUGGGCGUUGGUCCAUUGUGCAGCUCUGUGCUCCGAGGAAUAAAGCAGCAGUGGUGUUACUGUGGCACUGGCUCUUCCCUGGGAGUCGCUCUCUGUGGGCUUUGGAAACAUUGGCUUUUAAGGCUUGCCCAGCAAGUUGAUGACUCAGUUGGAAAACCCAGGCCUGCGAGUGGUGCUUUCUGCUGUCCCUCUGCGUGGCCAUGCAGCAGGACUGUGACCACGGAUGUGGCAUCCGGUGAGGUGGCCACCAGCCACGUGUGACUUGGAGUACCUGACAAGUAACUGGUGCACCUGAGGAAGCGCAGUGUGUGUGUGCGGCGCCUGGUCACGCUGCUGCAUGCAUGUGAGACAGCCAGGAUGUAAUGUGAUCGGUAC